UAGAAACACACGCCAGGUAAGUUCUGCGCAGCCGCGUAACCAACCCCUCGCUGUGUGGAAGCCACAGGAUCCUCUCCCUGGUCGCUUCUCGUGAAAAUGAGCCAUCACUCAACUCUGUACGACCACAUCUAUCUCAAACGUGUACCGCCGCGAACCAUCAAGAAGACGGAACGGCCAAACCGAAACGCUGUGAAUUUCCUCACAACCGGUGAUGUGGGGAAGGCUGGGGCUGUGCAGAAACACUUCGGAGCUGCCUCCGUGUCUCCGACACUCAUUGGUGUUGACAGAGCACAGCGCCGGAACUGUUUUAAGAGCGCGCUGACCCAGGGGAGGCCCGUCACAGAUAUAGACACCAAGCCCUCGCUGGUGUGAGCCGAGUAAAAAUUGAAAGCACUUUGCCAAGACUUUAGAGCAAUGCACCAAUAAACUGCAAUUCCACGAUACUCCCCACAAAUGCAUGGCUACAAUUACAUCCUGCGAUAACAGACGGACGAGCACCUUCACAGUGCACUGCGGAUAUUUACAAAAGCGCCCACACCAAGCAUUGUGCAUCUCAAGCAGCGGAAUUAUAAAAGGGCUGUUCGUGCACGGAGGUCAGCCGUGGGAGUCGAAUCGCUGACGAAACCUGGCUCGAUGGAGAGCACGCUGCCGCCCAUCGGCUCCCCAGCGGCGUGACAAGUGAAAGCUGCUUACGAAGUAGCUGCUGCAUCCCCCCCCCCCCCCCCACUUGGCCGAGGAGCCCACUGAAGUACCUAAUUGCCUGAGCAUGUUAAUCAAAUUGCAUUAGCAAAAUAUCCCUACCUUGUUUUUUCCUACAGGGCCCUCCUUUUAAUUAAGGAGCCCAGGCAUGCAAACAGAGGCGUUCCGAAAUCCCUACGCUCGGUGCAAAUAUAGUAUGUGUACGUGCAUCACCGCGCUGGGGCUGGUGUUGCAUGCAUGCGUGCGUUCAUGGUGUUUCAUCCAGAGGAGAUGCUGACAGUUUUUGUUUUAGGAAGUGUGCGACGUACAUCUGUAAUCGCAACGCAGCAGCAUUUGCAAGCCACGGCCUGUGCUGCUACAAGGCCACGGCCACGCGCAAGCAGAUCCGGUGGCCAAAGAAUGGCCCUGGGCCGUUCCAGCUCGCAUCUUGUCCCCACGCUUUGCGAGCCACGAAAUCUCCAAGGUCUCGGUCCCUCCCACUAUGUCCCCUCCUCCCCAGCCACCCCCCUGCCCCUUUCUAACUCCGCUUGGUUACUUCUGCCUACUGAACCGUACAAUUAGUGGCCUUAACGGCUUGCCAGAAAGGCUAUUAAAGCAGGAACAUGUAGAUAUGGCAUGCAAAUUGCAUGAACUGUAGGCUCGUAUAUAUGUGUAAAAAACAUGUUACUACCAUUGCUAAAUGCCCAUUUCAAAUCAUUAAUCCCUGUAUUUUCUUGGGAAGGAGGGGCAAGAUAUUUUAAGCACAGCACCGUUCAUCCUAGAGACUGGCUUAACCACUGCGUGCCAAAUCAGCCCACGACUACAUUAGCUCUGCACUGCACGCCGCCUGGCACAGGUCAGCAUGAAGGACCCACGGCAGCAUGGCACGU
Long non-coding RNA from Lethenteron reissneri (Far Eastern brook lamprey), 1568 nucleotides. RefSeq lists it as uncharacterized. NCBI's taxonomy places the organism in Eukaryota, Metazoa, Chordata, Hyperoartia, Petromyzontiformes, Petromyzontidae. The record is from RefSeq and is a predicted model, not a curated record.